CCUACGGGAGGCAGCAGUGGGGAAUAUUGGCACAAUGGGCGGAAGCCUGAUCCAGCCAUGCCGCGUGUGUGAAGAAGGCCUUUUGGUUGUAAAGCACUUUAAGCGAGGAGGAGGCUACUAGUACUAAUACUACUGGAUAGUGGACGUUACUCGCAGAAUAAGCACCGGCUAACUCUGUGCCAGCAGCCGCGGUAAUA
This 197-nucleotide ribosomal RNA is filed under the name uncultured bacterium. RNAcentral's name for it is "partial 16S ribosomal RNA". It matches the Rfam family "Bacterial small subunit ribosomal RNA", at positions 338 to 525 of the family's 1533-position model. The record is from RNAcentral.